CCACGCCGUAAACGAUGUCGACCAGCCGUUGGGUGCCUAGCGCACUUUGUGGCGAAGUUAACGCGAUAAGUCGACCGCCUGGGGAGUACGGCCGCAAGGUUAAAACUCAAAUGAAUUGACGGGGGCCCGCACAAGCGGUGGAGCAUGUGGUUUAAUUCGAUGCAACGCGAAGAACCUUACCUACUCUUGACAUCCUGCGAACUUGUGAGAGAUCACUUGGUGCCUUCGGGAGCGCAGAGACAGGUGCUGCAUGGCUGUCGUCAGCUCGUGUUGUGAAAUGUUGGGUUAAGUCCCGUAACGAGCGCAACCCUUGUCCUUAUUUGCCAGCGGGUAAUGCCGGGAACUCUAAGGAGACUGCCGGUGACAAACCGGAGGAAGGUGGGGACGACGUCAAGUCAUCAUGGCCCUUACGAGUAGGGCUACACACGUGCUACAAUGGCCGGUACAAAGGGUUGCGAGCUCGCGAGAGUCAGCUAAUCCCGAAAAGCCGGUCUCAGUCCGGAUCGGAGUCUGCAACUCGACUCCGUGAAGUCGGAAUCGCUAGUAAUCGUGAAUCAGAAUGUCACGGUGAAUACGUUCCCGGGCCUUGUACACACCGCCCGU
RNAcentral lists this ribosomal RNA (603 nucleotides) under uncultured bacterium. RNAcentral's name for it is "bacterial SSU rRNA". It matches the Rfam family "Bacterial small subunit ribosomal RNA", at positions 795 to 1397 of the family's 1533-position model. The record is from RNAcentral.